UACGUAGGGUGCAAGCGUUGUCCGGAAUUAUUGGGCGUAAAGAGCUCGUAGGCGGUUCGUCACGUCGGCUGUGAAAUCCCGAGGCUCAACCUCGGGUCUGCAGUCGAUACGGGCGGACUGGAGUACUGCAGGGGAGACUGGAAUUCCUGGUGUAGCGGUGAAAUGCGCAGAUAUCAGGAGGAACACCGGUGGCGAAGGCGGGUCUCUGGGCAGUAACUGACGCUGAGGAGCGAAAGCGUGGGGAGCAAACGGG
RNAcentral lists this ribosomal RNA (253 nucleotides) under uncultured bacterium. RNAcentral's name for it is "partial 16S ribosomal RNA". It matches the Rfam family "Bacterial small subunit ribosomal RNA", at positions 524 to 776 of the family's 1533-position model. The record is from RNAcentral.